CACUAUCAUUAACUGAAUCCAUAGGUUAAUGAGGCGAACCGGGGGAACUGAAACAUCUAAGUACCCCGAGGAAAAGAAAUCAACCGAGAUUCCCCCAGUAGCGGCGAGCGAACGGGGAGGAGCCCAGAGCCUGAAUCAGUGUGUGUGUUAGUGGAAGCGUCUGGAAAGGCGCGCGAUACAGGGUGACAGCCCCGUACACAAAAAUGCACAUGCUGUGAGCUCGAUGAGUAGGGCGGGACACGUGGUAUCCUGUCUGAAUAUGGGGGGACCAUCCUCCAAGGCUAAAUACUCCUGACUGACCGAUAGUGAACCAGUACCGUGAGGGAAAGGCGAAAAGAACCCCGGCGAGGGGAGUGAAAAAGAACCUGAAACCGUGUACGUACAAGCAGUGGGAGCACAGAGCAAUCUGUGUGACUGCGUACCUUUUGUAUAAUGGGUCAGCGACUUAUAUUCUGUAGCAAGGUUAACCGAAUAGGGGAGCCGAAGGGAAACCGAGUCUUAACUGGGCGUUAAGUUGCAGGGUAUAGACCCGAAACCCGGUGAUCUAGCCAUGGGCAGGUUGAAGGUUGGGUAACACUAACUGGAGGACCGAACCGACUAAUGUUGAAAAAUUAGCGGAUGACUUGUGGCUGGGGGUGAAAGGCCAAUCAAACCGGGAGAUAGCUGGUUCUCCCCGAAAGCUAUUUAGGUAGCGCCUCGUGAAUUCAUCUCCGGGGGUAGAGCACUGUUUCGGCAAGGGGGUCAUCCCGACUUACCAACCCGAUGCAAACUGCGAAUACCGGAGAAUGUUAUCACGGGAGACACACGGCGGGUGCUAACGUCCGUCGUGAAGAGGGAAACAACCCAGACCGCCAGCUAAGGUCCCAAAGUCAUGGUUAAGUGGGAAACGAUGUGGGAAGGCCCAGACAGCCAGGAUGUUGGCUUAGAAGCAGCCAUCAUUUAAAGAAAGCGUAAUAGCUCACUGGUCGAGUCGGCCUGCGCGGAAGAUGUAACGGGGCUAAACCAUGCACCGAAGCUGCGGCAGCGACACUGUGUGUUGUUGGGUAGGGGAGCGUUCUGUAAGCCUGUGAAGGUGUGCUGUGAGGCAUGCUGGAGGUAUCAGAAGUGCGAAUGCUGACAUAAGUAACGAUAAAGCGGGUGAAAAGCCCGCUCGCCGGAAGACCAAGGGUUCCUGUCCAACGUUAAUCGGGGCAGGGUGAGUCGACCCCUAAGGCGAGGCCGAAAGGCGUAGUCGAUGGGAAACAGGUUAAUAUUCCUGUACUUGGUGUUACUGCGAAGGGGGGACGGAGAAGGCUAUGUUGGCCGGGCGACGGUUGUCCCGGUUUAAGCGUGUAGGCUGGUUUUCCAGGCAAAUCCGGAAAAUCAAGGCUGAGGCGUGAUGACGAGGCACUACGGUGCUGAAGCAACAAAUGCCCUGCUUCCAGGAAAAGCCUCUAAGCAUCAGGUAACAUCAAAUCGUACCCCAAACCGACACAGGUGGUCAGGUAGAGAAUACCAAGGCGCUUGAGAGAACUCGGGUGAAGGAACUAGGCAAAAUGGUGCCGUAACUUCGGGAGAAGGCACGCUGAUAUGUAGGUGAAGUCCCUCGCGGAUGGAGCUGAAAUCAGUCGAAGAUACCAGCUGGCUGCAACUGUUUAUUAAAAACACAGCACUGUGCAAACACGAAAGUGGACGUAUACGGUGUGACGCCUGCCCGGUGCCGGAAGGUUAAUUGAUGGGGUCAGCGCAAGCGAAGCUCUUGAUCGAAGCCCCGGUAAACGGCGGCCGUAACUAUAACGGUCCUAAGGUAGCGAAAUUCCUUGUCGGGUAAGUUCCGACCUGCACGAAUGGCGUAAUGAUGGCCAGGCUGUCUCCACCCGAGACUCAGUGAAAUUGAACUCGCUGUGAAGAUGCAGUGUACCCGCGGCAAGACGGAAAGACCCCGUGAACCUUUACUAUAGCUUGACACUGAACAUUGAGCCUUGAUGUGUAGGAUAGGUGGGAGGCUUUGAAGUGUGGACGCCAGUCUGCAUGGAGCCGACCUUGAAAUACCACCCUUUAAUGUUUGAUGUUCUAACGUGGACCCGUGAUCCGGGUUGCGGACAGUGUCUGGUGGGUAGUUUGACUGGGGCGGUCUCCUCCUAAAGAGUAACGGAGGAGCACGAAGGUUGGCUAAUCCUGGUCGGACAUCAGGAGGUUAGUGCAAUGGCAUAAGCCAGCUUGACUGCGAGCGUGACGGCGCGAGCAGGUGCGAAAGCAGGUCAUAGUGAUCCGGUGGUUCUGAAUGGAAGGGCCAUCGCUCAACGGAUAAAAGGUACUCCGGGGAUAACAGGCUGAUACCGCCCAAGAGUUCAUAUCGACGGCGGUGUUUGGCACCUCGAUGUCGGCUCAUCACAUCCUGGGGCUGAAGUAGGUCCCAAGGGUAUGGCUGUUCGCCAUUUAAAGUGGUACGCGAGCUGGGUUUAGAACGUCGUGAGACAGUUCGGUCCCUAUCUGCCGUGGGCGCUGGAGAACUGAGGGGGGCUGCUCCUAGUACGAGAGGACCGGAGUGGACGCAUCACUGGUGUUCGGGUUGUCAUGCCAAUGGCACUGCCCGGUAGCUAAAUGCGGAAGAGAUAAGUGCUGAAAGCAUCUAAGCACGAAACUUGCCCCGAGAUGAGUUCU
RNAcentral lists this ribosomal RNA (2643 nucleotides) under Escherichia coli. RNAcentral's name for it is "partial 23S ribosomal RNA". It matches the Rfam family "Bacterial large subunit ribosomal RNA". Lineage: Bacteria; Pseudomonadati; Pseudomonadota; Gammaproteobacteria; Enterobacterales; Enterobacteriaceae. The record is from RNAcentral.